This 474-nucleotide ribosomal RNA is filed under the name uncultured Bradyrhizobium sp. RNAcentral's name for it is "bacterial SSU rRNA". It matches the Rfam family "Bacterial small subunit ribosomal RNA", at positions 8 to 526 of the family's 1533-position model. Lineage: Bacteria; Pseudomonadati; Pseudomonadota; Alphaproteobacteria; Hyphomicrobiales; Nitrobacteraceae. The record is from RNAcentral.
AGAGUUUGAUCCUGGCUCAGAGCGAACGCUGGCGGCAGGCUUAACACAUGCAAGUCGAGCGGGCGUAGCAAUACGUCAGCGGCAGACGGGUGAGUAACGCGUGGGAACGUACCUUUUGGUUCGGAACAACACAGGGAAACUUGUGCUAAUACCGGAUAAGCCCUUACGGGGAAAGAUUUAUCGCCGAAAGAUCGGCCCGCGUCUGAUUAGCUAGUUGGUGAGGUAAUGGCUCACCAAGGCGACGAUCAGUAGCUGGUCUGAGAGGAUGAUCAGCCACAUUGGGACUGAGACACGGCCCAAACUCCUACGGGAGGCAGCAGUGGGGAAUAUUGGACAAUGGGCGCAAGCCUGAUCCAGCCAUGCCGCGUGAGUGAUGAAGGCCCUAGGGUUGUAAAGCUCUUUUGUGCGGGAAGAUAAUGACGGUACCGCAAGAAUAAGCCCCGGCUAACUUCGUGCCAGCAGCCGCGGUAAUAC